This is a non-coding RNA of Paragonimus skrjabini miyazakii, 82 nucleotides long. NCBI's taxonomy places the organism in Eukaryota, Metazoa, Platyhelminthes, Trematoda, Plagiorchiida, Troglotrematidae. The record is from the annotation of a GenBank genome assembly.
GGCUUCGUAGCUCAGCGGGUAGAGCGCUUUGCCGCGUUGAGGCAUGACGUUUCUGUCAUUGGUUCGAAUCCAGUCGAAGCCC